UCAGAAUGACAAGUCUCUUUAAAGAGCGAGUGUCUGGCUUUGAUGUAAGAGACGGAUGAUGGAGACACCUACUCCAGCUCUGUGGUGGUGCAGCCUGUCUUCGAGCUCCACACACACCCCAGUCCCCGUGCCUGAGCGCACACCUUGCAGGAGGUGAACAUUUCACAACCCACAGCCUGAACGUGGGCCAGCGACUGAGGACUUCCAACUACAGCGCCAUCCUGUGGACACAGAGCAAGACGGAUGGAGGAGAAGGCUGAGUACCUGAUACAGCAGAAUGUUGUUUACUGGCUCCUGGGAUGAGAACAGAGGAAUUUCCUGAAGGAGAGUGGCGUUUUGACCCACUACUGCCACCCGGUGGAGCUCACCACGAUCUGGAAUCGCAAUCAGAAGGCUGAAGAAAGGUCUUACCAGUCCCGAGAUGAAGCACCGCCCCCCUCCGCUCCUCACUGCCACUUCCCUGUGUCACAGCCAACUUUGUAUAUGUGAUUCCCUUUCGCACCAGAAGGGGCGCUGCUGUCACACUGGUUUCCAUCAGAGGGUGGUCCCUCACGAAGGUCAGCACUUUAUCAGGGAGCUUCAGGGAGGACUCAAAGCCCUCUGCCCUC
This is a long non-coding RNA of Synchiropus splendidus (mandarinfish), 608 nucleotides long. RefSeq lists it as uncharacterized. The record is from RefSeq and is a predicted model, not a curated record. NCBI's taxonomy places the organism in Eukaryota, Metazoa, Chordata, Actinopteri, Syngnathiformes, Callionymidae. The transcript is spliced from 3 exons.